GAUGAACGCUGGCGGUAUGCUUAACACAUGCAAGUCGAACGGACUCUUCGGAGUUAGUGGCGGACGGGUGAGUAACGCGUGAGAAUCUGGCUUUGGGUUCGGGACAACCACUGGAAACGGUGGCUAAUACCGGAUGUGCCGAGAGGUAAAAGAGAAAUUGCCUGAAGAUGAGCUCACGUCUGAUUAGCUAGUUGGUGAGGUAAAGGCUCACCAAGGCAGCGAUCAGUAGCUGGUCUGAGAGGAUGACCAGCCACACUGGGACUGAGACACGGCCCAGACUCCUACGGGAGGCAGCAGUGGGGAAUUUUCCGCAAUGGGCGAAAGACUGACGGAGCAAUACCGCGUGAGGGAAGGAGGCUCUUGGGUUGUAAACCUCUUUUCUUAGGGAAGAACAAAAUGACGGUACCUAAGGAAUCAGCAUCGGCUAACUCCGUG
This 435-nucleotide ribosomal RNA is filed under the name uncultured bacterium. RNAcentral's name for it is "partial 16S ribosomal RNA". It matches the Rfam family "Bacterial small subunit ribosomal RNA", at positions 28 to 507 of the family's 1533-position model. The record is from RNAcentral.